Molecule: transfer RNA, 66 nt
Filed under: Siphoninus phillyreae (ash whitefly)
Lineage: Eukaryota; Metazoa; Arthropoda; Insecta; Hemiptera; Aleyrodidae
Description: tRNA-Arg
Source: RNAcentral
AAUUAUGUAGAAGUAAAAAUUACAGCUAAUUUCGGCUUAGUUAAUAGAAUAAAAUUCUCGCAUUUU